This 74-nucleotide transfer RNA is filed under the name Deltaproteobacteria bacterium. Its description in RNAcentral is "tRNA-Val". It matches the Rfam family "tRNA". From Rfam's summary of the family: Transfer RNA (tRNA) molecules are approximately 80 nucleotides in length. Their secondary structure includes four short double-helical elements and three loops (D, anti-codon, and T loops). Lineage: Bacteria; Pseudomonadati; Myxococcota; Myxococcia. The record is from RNAcentral.
AGGCGCGUAGCUCAGCUGGUUAGAGCGCAUGCUUGACAUGCAUGAGGUCAGCGGUUCGAUCCCGCUCGUGCCUA